Molecule: transfer RNA, 73 nt
Filed under: Neotoma lepida (desert woodrat)
Lineage: Eukaryota; Metazoa; Chordata; Mammalia; Rodentia; Cricetidae
Rfam family: tRNA
About the family: Transfer RNA (tRNA) molecules are approximately 80 nucleotides in length. Their secondary structure includes four short double-helical elements and three loops (D, anti-codon, and T loops).
Source: Rfam by way of RNAcentral
GUUUCUGUAGUGUAGUGGUCAUCACNCUNGCCUAACAUGCGAGAAGUUCCCAGUUCGAAACCAGAUGGAAACA